AGGAACCCCCCGCGCGGGCGGCGUUUUGUACAUUUAACACCCGACAAAGCUGUCGUUAUGUGGGCCCAAAAGGUGGGGCCCGAGUCAGGUGAUCAGCUGGAGCGCAACGCGUCGACGCGGACGGACAAUGGCGCUCACGCGCGGGGGACGGGGCGCGUUACCGGAGCCAAAAGAGGCUUUUUAAAUAGUUUUUAUUCAACGUGUUCAGUGAGAAACGCAUCGGUGAAGGAGGGGAGGGGCGGGGCUGACGGGAGGUGCUGAGGCUGAGCGGAGCAUCGUUUGGUGGAGGAGGUGGCGUGUGUGUGUGUGUGUGUGUGUGCGUGUGUGUGUGUGUGUGUGCGUGUGUAUGUGUGUGUGUGUGUGUGUGUGUGUGUGUGUGUGUGGAGAAAACGUUGGUUCGGCUCCCCAACCGGAAGCCAGUUGGCUCCACGACCCGCGCCGCUGGAAACAAGACCCCCGUGAACAUGUGCGCGAAUGUGUUCGGAGUUUUGAAAAGCCUGUUUGGGAAGCCCUUUGAUGGUGGGAAGAGGAUGGACCAUGGCGUCCCACAGCAGCAGCAGCAUCACCACCCAACGGAGCAGCAGCAGCAGCCGUACCACCCGCAGCACCCCGCCAUGAUGCGGCUGUACGAGGUCCACAAGGAGGUGACGUCUCUGGGGCCCCAGGUGUGCAACUUCAGCGGCCUGCAGGACGACCGCGACUACAAGCGCCUGGAGCGCGAGCUGACACGGCUGCUGCUGGACGUGGACCAGGUGGACACGGAGGGCAAGCCGGAGCUGCAGGGGGCGCGCAAGAGAGCGGCGCAGGAGGUGGAGGGCCUCCUGCGCUACCUGGAGGAGAACGCCACCCACCCGUCCCGCGGCGCCAUCGAGGAGCUGAGCGACGAGGCGCGGCAGCUGGUGGACGACCGCGUGGUGGCGCCCCAGCGGUCCGGCGGCACGGCCGAGAUAAACGACGAGCUGGUGGAGGCCCUGCAGGUGAUCGUGCUGAAGCUCACCCAGGUCAAGACCGAGGGGCGGGUGCCGCUCCGCAAGGCGCGCUACCGGGCGCUCACGCGGCUGUGCGCCGUGCAGGCCGUGGUCGAGGGCCGCACGCCGCAGCAGACUCUCUCCCUGCCGCUGCCGGGCGACACCCACGAGGCCGUGCACCGCAUCAACCAGGUGAUGGUUAAGGUGAGCGUGGCGCGCGGCCACCUGGUGGCGCUGCUGAUGGGUCUGAGCGGCAGGGACAGCUGCGCCCACCUGUCGCGCCUCCUGACGGAGAUGCAGGCGGAGCUGGACGCCCUGGACGUUUCCGGCAACGCGGCGAUCAGAAACUACAGGAAGCAGGUCGUGGAGGAGAUCAACGGGCUGCUGAAACAUCUGGACCUGGAGGGGGAGGGCGAGGACACGCGCAGGUACGACCUGGCCCAGAACAACUCCAUCCGAGAGAUCGAGGCGGUGCGAGCUCACGUGUCCCACCUGCGAGAGGGCGUCCUGCGGCACUGCGUGACGGGCGACCUGAGCUUCAGGCCCAAAGCCGAGCUGCAGAGCCUCCUGACUCACCUGGACCAGGUGGACACGGCCAAGAACCCGUGCAUCCGAGAGGCCCGGCGCCGCGCCGUGGUGGAGGUCCAGGCCAUCAUCACCUUCCUGGACCUCCGCGAGGCCCUGACGCGCCGCCAGCCGGGCCCCGCCGAGCUCCCGGCGCACCGGGCCGUGUGGCUGGUCCUCGGGAGCCUCUCGGACCUCCAGGCCCAGGCGCUGGCCUUCGACGGCAAGCGGGUCGACAAGAGCUACAUCCUGCUGGAGGAGCUGCUCACCAAACAGCUGCUGACGCUGGACGCCGUGGACCCGCAGGGCGACGACACCACCAAGAUGGCGCGGAAGCAGGCGGUGAAGUUCGCCCAGAACAUUCUCAACUACCUGGACAUGAAGACGGACGAGUGGGAGUACUGAAGCUCUCCAGGAGGACCGGCGCCGCGGAGGCCGUGUGUAAAUAAUCAAAAACCCAAACUGCUGGUGCAACAUGGCGCUCCAUCCAGCCGCCGGUCCCACGACGCAGGAAGAAGGUUGAAAAAGAUGAUUUAAGAAAGUAGAAAGCACCAGAAAGGAGACGCUCUUCCUUCCUGAGCUUUAGCAAAAAGUAGUUUUCUUUAAAGCGCACUCUUUUUUUUGUUACUGUUCCUGAGUCACUGUUGUCGAUUGCUGCUUUGCCUUCCUUUCAAAUGACAGAAAAGUGUUCUGCGGUGGGCAAAUAAAAAGGUCAUUGCAUCCGUUUAGUUUUUCUGAAGUCGCCUUUACCUGCAUUGAUUGUGAGGCUUCUGCUGUUUCUUCAGACGCGCUUGUACACAAAAAAUAAUAAAAAGCACACAAGACUGAAAACAAACAAAAACAAGGUUGUGUGAAUGCUCCAUGGAUGGUUGUGUUUUGAAUUUGUAUUCCCACUGCAAAAUAAAGACGGCGUGUCUUGAUCAGUG
RNA transcript from Cyclopterus lumpus (lumpfish), 2458 nucleotides. It is a transcript of the gene named BCL2 associated athanogene 5, with no coding region annotated. Lineage: Eukaryota; Metazoa; Chordata; Actinopteri; Perciformes; Cyclopteridae. The transcript has 4 exons. The record is from RefSeq and is a predicted model, not a curated record.